Molecule: small nuclear RNA, 107 nt
Filed under: Neotoma lepida (desert woodrat)
Lineage: Eukaryota; Metazoa; Chordata; Mammalia; Rodentia; Cricetidae
Source: RNAcentral
GUGCUCGCUUCAGCAGCACAUAGACUAAAAUAGGAAUGAUACAGAGAAGAUUAGCACAGCCUCUGCACAAGGAUAACACACAAAUUCAUGAAGCGUUCCAUAUUAAA